RNAcentral lists this non-coding RNA (2806 nucleotides) under Cryptosporidium parvum. Lineage: Eukaryota; Apicomplexa; Conoidasida; Eucoccidiorida; Cryptosporidiidae. The record is from RNAcentral.
CAGAAUCAUUUUCUCUGUUAUUUUUUUUUAUGGAAAUCCUUUGAAUCCAAUAUACAUUUUAUUUACUCCGAUCAGUAUUAUCAGUUCAUUUAUUUUUAAUAACUACCAACCAAUUUCCAACUGCUGAUCUCUAAUAUUAUCCUAAGUUAAUAAAAAUAUAAAACUUGAAAUUCAAGUGUUGAAAAUCCUCCAACUAAAGAUGAAGUAAUAUAGCUAUUUAUGUGGAUAAAGGAGAGAAAAGUUGUAAUAAAGGUAUACCACCAUCGCCGCCACGAUACAACCCAGGAGUAAUGAAUAAUCCCCUCGUUAACUUAAAAAAAAGUCCCAACUUAUUACUUCUUCGAAGUUUUCUCGGACUUAUUGAAAGGAUUAAUUUCUCGAUAGUAUCCGAGUUUGGCUCUAGCAGCAUUCUUUCUGAAGAGAUUCUUGAUUCCGAACUUUUUCCCUUUAAUGUAUAAUGGACUGGAAGGAAGAGGGAAGGGAUGUCUCGGAUGGAUUUUCCUGACAGCCUUAACAAGUUUGUAAUAGUCGCGCUUAAUAUACCCGAGCUCAUAAUUAAAGUUAUGUCCAGAAGUUUUAAUACAUUUGUUAAGAUCUUGAAGAACUUUGAUAACUUCCUUAGAAUUGAAUUCAAUCUCUUCAAGAAUUGCAAGAAUACGAAGGAUUUCAGAUCUGAUUGGCUUGACAUUGCCUGCUUUAACUGCAUCGUUAAUAUUGGUAAAUAUUGGAACAACAUUAUUAGUAAAGAAUUUUCUUUCGUUAAAAUGUAUAUUAAAAAGUGAUUGUCUUGGGAUUCCAUUAAAUUCUUCUUCAACAACACUGGGAUUGGCAACCAUUUCAUCUUGUAUAGAUUUGAGGAUUUUGGUCAUUUCGCGAACAGCAUCAUAUAUUGGUCCCACAGCCAAUAAAGAAUUAUAGUAAUUUUGUGAACAUAAUCUCUUGGAUUUUGGUCCUUUAUACCAAUCAUCAUAAAAUUCCAUGAUAUUUGAAAUAUUCUUUUUGACUCUUCUGCUUUGUUCACCAUUUCCAAGCUGAAGUCUAAUUCCUUUCAUACCAUAAUACAAAUCUACUCUAACAUCAUCGAUAAACUGGAAUCCUGGGUAGUGAAUGGUAUUAAUAAUAUCGUAGAGCUUUUUGUAAAGGAAAUCAAAAUGAGCAAAACCAUCAAUUGCUCCACUGUUAUAUACUUGGUAAAUUCCAUUAGAGUUUGAAACAUGUCUCCAUUUCAAGUUUGAAGCUUCAGUAAAUAGAGGUAAAGGAAUGGAUAUAACAGUUCCAGUAAGCUUAAAGAGUUCAAUCUUCUCUUUAAGUACAUUCUUUGGUAGAUCUUCUGGUUGAAUUGUAAGGACAUCUUCUCUGGAAAGCUGGGUACAAAUCUCAACAACAUCUAGAGCGGAGUUGAUUCCAUUCAAUCUUUUAAUGCAUUCUCCAUAAGCAACUACAGAGAAUAAUAUUGUAGCUAAAUCGAAUUUAUCUUGACCAGCUAAAUCAACAGGAUUUGAGCCUAAGAACCUUAGAAUACGUUCCAUACGUGGCUGAUUUUCAUCAACUAACAAUUCAAACUUGGAUUUUACUCCAAUUUCAACUCUAGGAUCACUAGUAGAGAGUCCAGAAAUUGUAUCGUGGGUCAUUGGAAGCUCAACCUUAUAAUAAUUAAUUUUUUUAUUAAGUUGACUUUCCAAUACCUUCUCAUCAUUAAGUUCAACACUUGGAUACUUGGAGAUAUCACUAACUGUAAGAAUAUUGGCAGACUCUAAAGAUGGGAAAAGGUUUUCAAUUGCUAUUUCUGCAUUUCUUGUAAUAACAAAUUCCAUCCUUGAAGACCUCUCUUCAGGCUUAGAAGUAUCAUCAGUUGAUUUAUCAACAAAUCCAAUAGAUCUUUGUUGAGAAGUUGAUGGUUCAACAGUAAUAUCUGGUUGAAUGGAAGAUGCUAAUGAUGAUCUAAGACCUUCACUAGCAUCUCCACCAACAAAAUCAGAAUGGGGAGCAAUUCCUCCUACGGAAGCACUCAAAUCACCUUGGGAUUGCGAUUUACUCAUAUCCAAAUUGGAACCAUCAAUACCAGAUCCCGAAGAAGAUGUUACUUCUGAGUCACUAGAAAUACCUGCGAGAUCUUCUCCAGAAGCUGAUGCUGACUCUUCAUUACUUGGAAACAUUGAUGAAGAUUUCUCACCAGCAGAACCUAAAAUGUCAGACCCAUAUAAAUCAGUCUCAGAGCCAAGAACUCCCCCAACAGCAAGGAUAAUACACCCAAUUGCUCCCAAAACAUAAGUCUUCUUAUUCAUAUUCACUUGUUCUUUUCCACCUAACAAUGCUUAAAAGAAAAUCUGAAUCAAUUCAAAUAAAAACUUGUACAAGCUUCAAAUAUAAUGGCUUUCUCUCACACUUUCUUUUUCUUCAAAGCCCUAAAACUGUGUACAAGUGUACAUCCCACUUUACCUUUUUAUCAAUUUAUUGCUUUAUCAACUAAUCAUCUCCAAGCGUCGACAUAACGCACCUGAAUCUUUUAAUUAUUAGACUUGCCGCCUUUCAGAGGAGAUUCCCCCCAAAGCAGAGGGUAAAAAUUAAUAGGGCGGAAAUAAAUCUGGAAAUUAAGAAAUUUCAAAUAAGGGAUGCAUAUACGUCCAUAUAUGAUAUGAAUAUACAUACAAUAUCCAAAUCACACAAAAUCUAUUAUACUAGGAAUCUGAAAUAUUUAUUUAUGCUCCAAUUUAAGGAUAAAUUCUGACAUAAUUCUUAUUUUGGGUAUCGGAUAAAUGCACACAUUUUGGCGCCCUGAUCUACAAAUUUUGAAUAUUAAAAAUGC